This 77-nucleotide ribosomal RNA is filed under the name Cytobacillus firmus. RNAcentral's name for it is "partial 23S ribosomal RNA". The record is from RNAcentral. Lineage: Bacteria; Bacillati; Bacillota; Bacilli; Caryophanales; Bacillaceae.
CAGGUUGAUAGGUCAGAGGUGGAAGCGUGGCGACAUGUGGAGCUGACUGAUACUAAUCGAUCGAGGACUUAACCAAA